UCCAAUUCAGCCAUUCGGAGGUCCUGGCAGUUGAAACUUCAAGACAGGAAUUUGGAGUGAGGACACAGUUCAUUCCAUAUACAAAGACAGGAGCGGCUUCCUCCAGAACCCGGAAGGUCUGUCCCUCUACAGAAACCCAGAUCUAAUCAUGUCACAUCCCACACCAGAGACCGGGUCUCACUCUGUUGUCCAGGCUGGUCUGGAACUCCUGGGAUCAAACCAUCCUCCUGCCUCAGCCCCCCAAGGUGCAGGAAUUACAGGAUCACACCAUGCCCACUGAGUUAAGACUUUUUGAUAGCCAAGUGAUUGUACAAGCCUCUGAGCUCAACCCCACUUGAAUCAUCUUGAGAGACUUGAUCAUAAUUCAAGUUCUUCUUUGGCACAUUUUUAUCAUUGGCUAUGGGUUUACAUAAAACACAAUGAGUCACA
Molecule: long non-coding RNA, 429 nt
Organism: Gorilla gorilla gorilla (western lowland gorilla)
Lineage: Eukaryota; Metazoa; Chordata; Mammalia; Primates; Hominidae
Exons: 2
Source: RefSeq, a predicted model, not a curated record